Molecule: long non-coding RNA, 4631 nt
Organism: Columba livia (rock pigeon)
Lineage: Eukaryota; Metazoa; Chordata; Aves; Columbiformes; Columbidae
Exons: 3
Source: RefSeq, a predicted model, not a curated record
CGGGGGCACCCAGGGUGGGGACAGCGUUCUGUCACUGCCUCCUUCAACCACAAAAAGCUCUCUCACCCGCCUGCAUAACUCUGUGUCUGCCCAUGGACCACAACCAAGAAGCAGCAGCUGCGAGAAGCAGCUCUACCAGUGGGUUUCUGCAGGGCUGAAAAUGGAGACAACUGGUCUUCUAGGCGGUGCACAACUUGAACAAAUUUGGAUGGAGAAGACAAGACAGAAGACUGGACAGGUCCAUCUAACCUAACGCCCACCCAGACCUUAGAGCCAUGUUCAUUAGCUCCUGUAGCAAAUCCUGCGGCAGCAAUUUGGUCAUCGUAGAAAGGCAUCAAAAGCUGUCGUCUCUCCCGAAAACAACUGUCACCAGAAUGAACACACCAGCCGUGCUGGUGAUGAAUGGUAAUGACUCAGCCUCCGCUGCAGAUGCACAAAGAGGAGUCGCUUUGAUUCGUUCCCGCUUGCCACAUCGUCCCUUGACGGCAGCCUCACCUGCAUCGCUCACAGCAUGUGAUGUUCUUCCAGAAACCUGUCCCCCAGAGGAUCGUGGUGCAAAACCAGCCCACCUUGCACAGAUGCCUUGGCCCCGCUUCUCCCUGCUCCAUUUUUGCUUUCAGGGCAGCAUAAUUUUGGCCUGCCAGUUUGCAUGCUCAUGUCUUUGCUGUUUGCUGUCCUCAGUCAUCCAAACUAACAAAGUGGCUUCCCUGCUUUAUUUUGUAGCCUCUCAGUGUUUUUUUCUGCCUCCCUGUCUCCAUAAGCAGUACUUUUAUCUCAUUCUUUUUGCAAAGCAUGGUCACUUUUCAAUUGCUGGCUAAUGAAGCCUCACUUCACAUACACAGAAAAAAAAAGUUUGCAGUCACUGCAAAGUUCUCACGUGCGUGUUUUUCAUGAAACCACAUCUGAUGCUGCUCUCAGAAAAAGCCAACACCCAUCCUCUAAGAACCUGUCAACCAAAAGCGGGGGAGACCAGGGAAAUGUCAAAAACAAGGGCGGAUCAAGCAAGAGGAGGUAGGUUUUAGAACAGCUCCUUUAAAUCAUCCCAGCCUUAUUCUUCUUCCCUUGUAACUUUAUUAAAAUUUCGGACCCAAGAGAAAAAAACAAAUGUUCUGACGUUUUAUCUUCAGAUACAGGACUAAAAGCCAAGACAUUCUUAAUGAAAAGUGUAAAUAAUUGUGCCAUUUAGCAGUGUUGGAUGGGGUUGUUUUAAUUCAUUCCUGCCUUAAAUUACCAACAUUCCCACAAGCAGCGGGAGAUACGAGUCAGCCCUUUUAAGCCCAGCUAUGCUGGUGCAGAAGGGAGGUGUAUUAAACAACUUCUGCCCUAUUCACAUCUCCUCCUGCUCCAGUGCAUGGAGGAUUCCCAACAUACAGUAAGUUGUGUCGCAAAGGCUUAGUUAGUCCUUUACUUUGUUCUGAGGCUAUUGGGUGGGUGAAGAUUGCAUUGCAGGGGACAACCUACAUGGGGAACAAGGAGAAAAAAGCUGGUGAAGGAAGGGCAAUUGACCCUUAGAGACAGUAUGAAGGAGGACAUAGGAAAAGGUGGUUGACACCAGUUACUGGGCAGUUUGGGAAAGAUAGUGUUCAUGUGGAUUUAGAGUACUUGUAAAAGUUUUGCUCUGGAUAUUGCUGCAGUUUCAGUUCUCCGAGUAAACAUUCUCCUUAGAAACCUGAAGGAUGGAGUUACAAUAACUUGUAUAAUUGUUAACUCAUUUACAAGGCACAGGGUCUUCAGGGACCUAGAUUAUGUUUAGACAGUCUGUGUCAGUGACUGACUGAGCUUAGUAUGAUUUUUUUCUUUGCCAAACUCGUGAAACAUUUAGUACUUCCCCGUCCACCUCCCCCUCCCAGCAAAACAAGGCUCAUAAUGAUAUUCAGUUUUGUAGAAAACAUGGGAGGAAUUCUCCCUCUUACUGUGCAGGAGGAGAAUCAGCAGGCCAGGAUGGUAGAAGAUAUGACCCACUCCACAGAGCUUCACAAACCUUAGGAGCCCUAUGCACAAAUCUUUGUGAGGCUAUGAAAUUCACACAAUGUAUUUUGGAGAGGUGGAAAAAGGGCAGGAUCCAGGAACCAUUCACCCAGAGGAGAGGACAGUGCUUCCUGAGGACACCCAUACUGCGUUAGACAAUGGAGACAAGCUGGGUGUAUGAGCUGGCCUCUGGGAAAACUGAUCUCUUGUGCCAGGCAGGUUAUGGUCCCAGUUUGGGAUGUAGCUCAAUGCACUUGAGCUGUGCAAAAGUCAUGGUAGCUGAAGAACCACAGGCUGGCUUCUCUAGCCCAUGUCCAUCUUGGACACCUUGGUUUGGGGACUUUGGGAGGUCUGCAGACAGCCUUGUUCUCAAUGCCCCAGUGGACACGCACAUUGCAGUGAGCAGGAAACAUGACACACAUGUUGGUGCCCUACUGUCUCCCUUCACACUCCUCGCCAUGUUGUGUGCAGUGGAUCCAUCACAUGUCGUGGAGGUGAGUUGUAUGUUUGUCCAUUCAGGCUUGUCACUGCAAUCCACAACAUCUAGUGCAUCCCAAGAGGCCCAUCAAAGUUGACUUUGGCUUUCUUCUUCUGCUCUCUUACCCCUUUUUUUCAUUCCAGUAUCAUUUGGCCUAUGAAAGUAAAUCAUAACUUUAUCAUAGCAAAAUACUAUUUCAGUUCAAAGCGGGAAAGCAAACCAGCCCAAAUGAAACUUGUGCAGAAUUAAUAUAAUCCGCAAAAUUGUACUCAGCAAGUAGUUCCCAGGUGUCCAUUAUCAGAAGAACAUGGUAAAGUGUGAUUUUACAGAGCUCGUCCUCAAAUAUGGUAUUAUUCAAUAUAUCUUUUAAUAUCCUAGAUGGAUAUGAUCACACUCGUUACAUUUGCACACACCGGACUUCCCAGGAACGUACAUGCACUGGAGGACAGAACCACAAUUCAAGCUAAUAUUGACAAACUGGAGAAGUGGUGCGGAAAAAAUUAAAUCCAGUUCAAGAGAGUGAGCUGUGAAGGACUCUGCUCCAGCAAGAAUGAUCAACCUCAUAAAUGCAGGCUGAGGGAUGACUGGUUAAGUUCCACUUUUUUCCGAAAAGAGGCUGGAGGCAGUGAAACAUGAGUUAGCAAUGACACCUGGAAAUAGCAGACAACAUGUCAUCAGAUUUAAUCAAAUGCAGAGACACAAGGUAAUUCUCUCACAGUGGUGGGGGUUAGCAAGCCUCUGCCAAGGCAGGACAUGGCUUUCAAGCAUGUCAGAGGAUAGAAACCUUUUGGUGACAGUCCUGCAAGGAACAACCAGACUGCUCAGAGGGUCAGAAAACAGAAAAUUAAGGAAAAGAUAGGAGGAACUGGAACCACUUCAUUUGAGAGAUACAAGAUGAACACAGGAGAUAAGAGCAGUUCGCAAGCCCUCCUCUCCACCUCUGUGGUGCAUGAGGAGCCAUGCACAUAGGCUGCAGAACGGAGGAGGGAAAUUAAGUAGCAAGCUAGCAGAAACUAGGAAAAAGCAAGUUAGAAAAAAAAAAACACAACUUUCCAAGAGUCAAGACUGUCAAGCAGCAAAAGCAAGUACUUGGGUGAGUCAGUGCUGAGUGAAUCAGAGUGCUGCUUUAACUUACAAAGCAUUCGUGAAGCUUUUGAAGAACAGAGUAGACCAAGUAGCUAUUGGGAAUAGUGUAAGAAUAGUUGAUUCUGCCUUAGGGAAGGGCAGUAGGAGUAGGGGAUCUCUUGAGGUUAGGCUCAAUGCUAUUUAACUAGAGCAGCUAUUGAGUAAUGCUGGAUUUCUACUUGUUGGAUUUAUUUCUCAGGGACACUUAGCUGGGUGCUGAGUUGUCUCACUGCUUGAGGGGUCCAGCACAUUCCAGUGGCUCUUGGCUGGGACAGAAAUAUUUUUGCUGUUUCAGCAAAUUUAAGUGUCCCUACCAUCUUUUUCCUUCUGUAAGAAAUCUUCAUGUUUGUUUGCUUUUGCCUUCAUUCUUUCUUCCUAGUUAUUUUCACACCUAUUCCUCUGUGAUCCAGUGAGGUCAUUGUCAACGGUGGAGACGGCAGGUUUUUCAUCAUUUGAUGAUUAAAUCCCAGGGAUUUCUCUCAGAAUUAUUUCAGAUUGUUUACACAAAUUGUGAAAGAGAAGCUGUCUGCAUAUCAUAAUAACAUGUAAACUACCUGAUGCUACUCCCAGCAUAACCAACAAAUAUGCUAAAUCCUGCUAAGCAUCAAAACGUUAUGUUUUACUAAGGAUUACACAUCAAUUAUACAAUCUCUUUACCAACUUGAACAAAUUCUAAAAUUGAUCAAACAGGUCUAUACUAUAAUCAAAUGCUUGUUCCCAAGCCACAAGACCUUCCCAAUUUUCUCUACCAUAGCAUUUGUUAAUCAAACGUUUUUUCCCCAAUAGUAAUUUUCUUGGGUGUUGGAGGAAAUACAGGGAAGAAACUUAUUGUUCAGCUGUCUGAACAAUUUUCCAUCCCAGGCAAAGUAUAUUGCCAGCUGAUUCACAGCAUUAUUUCAGUAAUAUGUCCAUAAUAUGUUCUUUCCCUUUAGGUCGACUGUGAGAAAUGGAGUGAAAGCCCUGGGUCAUUUAUUUUAGAUUCUCUGGUCAUACUGUCAAACAAAUGGUACCUGUAGAUGAAUGCCUCUCCUUCACAUUAAAUAAAUUCUGCUUGCAGACU